Molecule: transfer RNA, 65 nt
Filed under: Dipodomys ordii (Ord's kangaroo rat)
Lineage: Eukaryota; Metazoa; Chordata; Mammalia; Rodentia; Heteromyidae
Rfam family: tRNA
About the family: Transfer RNA (tRNA) molecules are approximately 80 nucleotides in length. Their secondary structure includes four short double-helical elements and three loops (D, anti-codon, and T loops).
Source: Rfam by way of RNAcentral
GGUGGCUCAGUGGUAGAGCACUUGCCUUGCACGCAUCAGGCCCUGGGUUCGAUUCCUCAGCACCA